ACAGCAGCCGCCACGGGAAUACGUAUGUUGCAAGCGUUAAUCGGAAUUACUGGGCGUAAAGCGUGCGCAGGCGGUUAUAUAAGUCAGAUGUGAAAUCCCCGGGCUCAACCUGGGAACUGCAUUUGAGACUGUAUGGCUAGAGUGUGUCAGAGGGGGGUAGAGUUCCACGUGUAGCAGUGAAAUGCGCAGAUAUGUGGAGGAAUACCGAUGGCGAAGGCAGCCCCCUGGGAUAACACUGACGCUCACGCAGGAAAGCGUGGGGAGCAAACAGGAUUAGAUACCCGAGUAGUCCCUGUCUCUUAUAC
This 305-nucleotide ribosomal RNA is filed under the name uncultured bacterium. Its description in RNAcentral is "partial 16S ribosomal RNA". It matches the Rfam family "Bacterial small subunit ribosomal RNA", at positions 508 to 807 of the family's 1533-position model. The record is from RNAcentral.